GACGAACGCUGGCGGCGUGCUUAACACAUGCAAGUCGAACGGAAAGGCCCUGCUUUUGUGGGGUGCUCGAGUGGCGAACGGGUGAGUAACACGUGAGUAACCUGCCCUUGACUUUGGGAUAACUUCAGGAAACUGGGGCUAAUACCGGAUAGGAGCUCCUGCUGCAUGGUGGGGGUUGGAAAGUUUCGGCGGUUGGGGAUGGACUCGCGGCUUAUCAGCUUGUUGGUGGGGGAGUGGCUUACCAAGGCUUUGACGGGUAGCCGGCCUGAGAGGGUGACCGGCCACAUUGGGCCUGAGAUACGGCCCGGCCUCCUACGGGAGGCAGCAGUGGGGAAUAUUGCACAAUGGGCGGAAGCCUGAUGCAGCAACGCCGCGUGCGGGAUGACGGCCUUCGGGUUGUAAACCGCUUUCGCCUGUGACGAAGCGUGAGUGACGGUAAUGGGUAAAGAAGCACCGGCUAACUACGUG
Molecule: ribosomal RNA, 468 nt
Filed under: uncultured bacterium
Lineage: Bacteria
Description: partial 16S ribosomal RNA
Rfam family: Bacterial small subunit ribosomal RNA
Source: RNAcentral